UGACCAUCACCGAAGGAGACUGCCUCCUC
Molecule: small RNA, 29 nt
Filed under: Bombyx mori (domestic silkworm)
Lineage: Eukaryota; Metazoa; Arthropoda; Insecta; Lepidoptera; Bombycidae
Description: ovarian small RNA-31535
Source: RNAcentral